UGGGGAAUAUUGGACAAUGGGCGAAAGCCUGAUCCAGCCAUGCCGCGUGAGUGAUGAAGGCCUUAGGGUUGUAAAGCUCUUUUAGCAGGGAAGAUAAUGACGGUACCUGCAGAAAAAGCCCCGGCUAACUUCGUGCCAGCAGCCGCGGUAAUACGAAGGGGGCUAGCGUUGCUCGGAAUUACUGGGCGUAAAGCGCACGUAGGCGGACUCUUAAGUCGGUGGUGAAAUCCUGGAGCUCAACUCCAGAACUGCCUUCGAUACUGGGAGCCUUGAGUUCGGGAGAGGUGAGUGGAACUGCGAGUGUAGAGGUGAAAUUCGUAGAUAUUCGCAAGAACACCAGUGGCGAGGGCGGCUCACUGGCCCGAUACUGACGCUGAGGUGCGAAAGCGUGGGGAGCAAACA
Molecule: ribosomal RNA, 402 nt
Filed under: uncultured bacterium
Lineage: Bacteria
Description: bacterial SSU rRNA
Rfam family: Bacterial small subunit ribosomal RNA
Source: RNAcentral